This 1070-nucleotide ribosomal RNA is filed under the name uncultured bacterium. RNAcentral's name for it is "bacterial SSU rRNA". It matches the Rfam family "Bacterial small subunit ribosomal RNA", at positions 8 to 1068 of the family's 1533-position model. The record is from RNAcentral.
AGAGUUUGAUCCUUGCUCAGAUUGAACGCUGGCGGCAGGCCUAACACAUGCAAGUCGAGCGGUAGCACAGAGAGCUUGCUCUCGGGUGACGAGCGGCGGACGGGUGAGUAAUGUCUGGGAAACUGCCUGAUGGAGGGGGAUAACUACUGGAAACGGUAGCUAAUACCGCAUAACGUCGCAAGACCAAAGAGGGGGACCUUCGGGCCUCUUGCCAUCAGAUGUGCCCAGAUGGGAUUAGCUAGUAGGUGGGGUAAUGGCUCACCUAGGCGACGAUCCCUAGCUGGUCUGAGAGGAUGACCAGCCACACUGGAACUGAGACACGGUCCAGACUCCUACGGGAGGCAGCAGUGGGGAAUAUUGCACAAUGGGCGCAAGCCUGAUGCAGCCAUGCCGCGUGUAUGAAGAAGGCCUUCGGGUUGUAAAGUACUUUCAGCGAGGAGGAAGGCAUUGUGGUUAAUAACCGCAGUGAUUGACGUUACUCGCAGAAGAAGCACCGGCUAACUCCGUGCCAGCAGCCGCGGUAAUACGGAGGGUGCAAGCGUUAAUCGGAAUUACUGGGCGUAAAGCGCACGCAGGCGGUCUGUCAAGUCGGAUGUGAAAUCCCCGGGCUCAACCUGGGAACUGCAUUCGAAACUGGCAGGCUAGAGUCUUGUAGAGGGGGGUAGAAUUCCAGGUGUAGCGGUGAAAUGCGUAGAGACCUGGAGGAAUACCGGUGGCGAAGGCGCCCCCCUGGACAAAGACUGACGUUCAGGUGCGAAAGCGUGGGGAGCAAACAAAAUUAGAUACCCUGGUAGUCCACGCCGUAAACGAUCUCACAUGGGAGGUUUUCCCUUGAGGAGGGGCUUCCGGAAGCUAACGCGGUAAGUCGGCCGCCUGGGGAGUACGGCCGCAAAGGUUAAAAUUCAAAUGAAUUGACGGGGGCCCGCACAAGCGGUGGAGCAUGUGGUUUAAUUCGAUGCAACGCGAAGAACCUUACCUACUCUUGACAUCCAGAGAACUUAGCAGAGAUGCUUUGGUGCCUUCGGGAACUCUGAGACAGGUGCUGCGUGGCUGUCGUCAGCUCGUGUUGU